This 3004-nucleotide ribosomal RNA is filed under the name Gallibacterium anatis. RNAcentral describes it as "23S ribosomal RNA". It matches the Rfam family "Bacterial large subunit ribosomal RNA". The record is from RNAcentral. Lineage: Bacteria; Pseudomonadati; Pseudomonadota; Gammaproteobacteria; Pasteurellales; Pasteurellaceae.
AGUUAAGUGACUAAGCGUACACGGUGGAUGCCUUGGCAAUCAGAGGCGAAGAAGGACGUGCUAAUCUGCGAAAAGCGUGGGGGAGCUGAUAAGGAGCGCAAAUCCCACGAUGUCCGAAUGGGGAAACCCGAUAGGUGAAGAAUCUAUCAUUGUUGUCUGAAUUCAUAGGGCAACAAGGCAAACCGGGAGAACUGAAACAUCUAAGUACCCCGAGGAAAAGAAAUCAACCGAGAUUCUGCGAGUAGCGGCGAGCGAAAGCGGAGGAGCCAGCGAGUGAUAGCAUAAGUUUUAGGAGAAUUGUCUGGGAAGGCAAGCGAGAGAGGGUGACAGCCCCGUAUCCGAAAAGACGGAUGUGGUACUAAGCACGCGAGAAGUAGGGCGGGACACGAGGAAUCCUGUUUGAAGAAGGGGGGACCAUCCUCCAAGGCUAAAUACUCCUGAUUGACCGAUAGUGGACCAGUACCGUGAGGGAAAGGCGAAAAGAACCCCGGGAGGGGAGUGAAAGAGAACCUGAAACCGUGUACGUACAAGCAGUGGGAGCCUGAAAGGGUGACUGCGUACCUUUUGUAUAAUGGGUCAGCGACUUAUAUUUUGUAGCGAGGUUAACCGGAUAGGGGAGCCGAAGGGAAACCGAGUCUUAACUGGGCGGUUAGUUGCAAGAUAUAGACCCGAAACCCGGUGAUCUAGCCAUGGGCAGGAAGAAGGUUGGGUAACACUAACUGGAGGGCCGAACCGACUACUGUUGAAAAAGUAGCGGAUGACCUGUGGCUGGGGGUGAAAGGCCAAUCAAACCGGGAGAUAGCUGGUUCUCCCCGAAAUCUAUUUAGGUAGAGCCUUAUAUGAAUACCUUCGGGGGUAGAGCACUGUUUCGGCUAGGGGUCCAUCCCGGAUUACCAACCCGAUGCAAACUGCGAAUACCGAAGAGUAAUGUAUAGGAGACACACGGCGGGUGCUAACGUUCGUCGUGGAGAGGGAAACAACCCAGACCGCCAGCUAAGGUCCCGAAGUCUAUAUUAAGUGGGAAACGAAGUGGAAAGGCUUAGACAGCUAGGAUGUUGGCUUAGAAGCAGCCAUCAUUUAAAGAAAGCGUAAUAGCUCACUAGUCGAGUCGGUCUGCGCGGAAGAUGUAACGGGGCUAAAAUAUAGCACCGAAGCUGCGGCAUCAGGCGUAUCACACAUACGCCUUACGAUUAACACCUUGCGGAGCAAGGUGGUCAAGCGACUUACACGUUGAGGUGUGAGCGGGAGGGAUAAUCGAAGAGAGGAAUAUGUGUGAUACGUCUGUUGGGUAGGGGAGCGUUGUGUAAGCUGAAGAAGGUGGUUCGAGAGGGCUGCUGGAGGUAUCACAAGUGCGAAUGCUGACAUAAGUAACGAUAAAGCGGGUGAAAGGCCCGCUCGCCGGAAGACCAAGGUUUCCUGUCCAACGUUAAUCGGGGCAGGGUGAGUCGGCCCCUAAGGCGAGGCUGAGAAGCGUAGUCGAUGGGAAAUGGGUUAAUAUUCCCAUACUUGGAUAAACUGCGAUGUGGGGACGGAGCAGGUUAGGUUAGCGUACGGAUGGAAGAGUACGUUUAAGUUGGUAGGUGGGGUGUUUAGGCAAAUCCGGGCACCUGAUAACACUGAGAGAUGAUGACGAGGCUCUACGGAGCUGAAGUAACUGAUACCCAACUUCCAGGAAAAGCCACUAAGCUUCAGGUUUAUCUAAACCGUACUGGAAACCGACACAGGUGGUCAGGUAGAGAAUACUAAGGCGCUUGAGAGAACUCGGGUGAAGGAACUAGGCAAAAUAGCACCGUAACUUCGGGAGAAGGUGCGCUGGCGUAGUGUGAAGUUCUUCGCGAAUGGAGCAUGAACCAGUCGAAGCGACGAGCUGGCUGCAACUGUUUAAUAAAAACACAGCACUCUGCAAACACGAAAGUGGACGUAUAGGGUGUGAUGCCUGCCCGGUGCUGGAAGGUUAAUUGAUGGUGUCAUCGAAAGAGAAGCACCUGAUCGAAGCCCCAGUAAACGGCGGCCGUAACUAUAACGGUCCUAAGGUAGCGAAAUUCCUUGUCGGGUAAGUUCCGACCUGCACGAAUGGCAUAAUGAUGGCCAGGCUGUCUCCACCCGAGACUCAGUGAAAUUGAAAUCGCCGUGAAGAUGCGGUGUACCCGCGGCUAGACGGAAAGACCCCGUGAACCUUUACUAUAGCUUGACACUGAACCUUGAAUUUUAAUGUGUAGGAUAGGUGGGAGACUAAGAAGCGGUAACGCCAGUUAUCGUGGAGUCGGUGUUGAAAUACCACCCUUUAACGUUUGAUGUUCUAACGAGGCGCCUGGGACAGGUGUUCGGACAGUGUCUGGUGGGUAGUUUGACUGGGGCGGUCUCCUCCCAAAGCGUAACGGAGGAGCACGAAGGUUGGCUAAUGACGGUCGGACAUCGUCAGGUUAGUGCAAUGGUAGAAGCCAGCUUAACUGCGAGACGGACAAGUCGAGCAGGUACGAAAGUAGGUCAUAGUGAUCCGGUGGUUCUGAAUGGAAGGGCCAUCGCUCAACGGAUAAAAGGUACUCCGGGGAUAACAGGCUGAUACCGCCCAAGAGUUCAUAUCGACGGCGGUGUUUGGCACCUCGAUGUCGGCUCAUCACAUCCUGGGGCUGAAGUAGGUCCCAAGGGUAUGGCUGUUCGCCAUUUAAAGUGGUACGCGAGCUGGGUUUAGAACGUCGUGAGACAGUUCGGUCCCUAUCUGCCGUGGGCGUUGGAGGAUUGAGGGGGGUUGCUCCUAGUACGAGAGGACCGGAGUGAACGCACCGCUGGUGUUCCAGUUGUUUCGCCAGAAGCAUUGCUGGGUAGCUAAGUGCGGAAGAGAUAAGUGCUGAAAGCAUCUAAGCACGAAACUUGCCCCGAGAUGAGUUCUCCCUGACAAAGAGUCAGUAAGGGUUGUUGAAGACGACGACGUAGAUAGGUGGGGUGUGUAAGCGGUGUGAGCCGUUGAGCUAACCCAUACUAAUUGCCCGAGAGGCUUAACUAU